UCAGUAACUGAAAGUACAAAAAAGUAAGGUCAGUAGACUGAAAAGAGUUACAAAUGCUGAUAUGGGUCAAUGGUGAGUAAUUAAUUGACCCUUUCUAUUAUAAACACACUUUCAAUGCACUUAGACUAACACAAUCUUCAGUUAAAUGACAAAUAUGAGUCAUUAUGACUUUUAUUGCUGAAUUUGUAGGUAAUAUACAAUGUGAAACCCCAUUAAAUUUAGUGACCCACUUUCUUUUAAUUUGUUUAUUUCCUGUUUUUUUCUUCAAUAUAUGUUAUUUUUCUAAGUAUAUCGGCAUUUCUUAAUCAAGUAUUCGUCUAGUAUCAAGUUGUUAAUUGCUUUAAUUUACCGCUAAUCCGCUUGAGAUGUUUAUUUAGAAAAAACGAAAGUGAAAGUAAUUUUUGCUUGUCAUGUAACAACAAGAACACCGAUCGAUUGCGAUUUUAAGCGUCCAGAAGACGCAAAUUAUUUAAAACAUUGCGUGAACGGAUGUAUUUGUACGUAUAGAAAAACGUAGAUAUAAUAUACUCACUGAGAAAUUCUCAAAUAGUCAAUUAAUUCAGUAGAAAUGAGUUUUCCAUGCGUUUUCGGAUAAACCGGAAGUGAAUAACGAAUGACGUAAUUCAUUAUGGCAUAGGCUGUGCGCACCUGCUGAGGCUAUCGGUGGGUGAUUUUAAGUGUAAAUCGGCAGCCUGCGGCAAAACGGGGGGCAGAGUUUGUGAUUUAGUCGUAAAGAAUAAUGCUGUUAGAUCAGUUAUGUACUAUGCCAUGCCAUGCCGAAUGUGCCGAUCAGAAGUAAAAACUAUUUGAAAAUUUCCCUUUUUUUAAUUGCUUGUUUUUAAGAAGGAAUCGUUUUAAAAACAACAAAAACAAUAGUUUCCCCAAUUGAGGCCCCUCUUAACUUUGGAAAACACCCUUCGUCAUCAAGUUAUAUUCUUAGAAUGCGACAAAAAAUAAACCAUAUUUAGCGCAUGUGAUCUUCCACUUUUGUCAAAAUGGCGGACGUAAAGUGAUGUUUAACUCGGGCGUCUGCAAUUCUUAACCGACUUAAAUUGAUGGACGGUUGAUGGAUAGCUGACAUAUAUAUCUACAAUGGAUCAUGAAGAACAGAUAGCAUUAACGAGUCUCCAAUUGAGUAUGACCAUACAGUCUGAACCACCGAUGUCUACAACCAUUGUUCCUGUCCCCCCCACCCCAGCUGCCCCGGACCUAGUUGAAGAGCUGCCAGAACCUGACUUACCAGUGCCUUUCCUUCAUUGAGUACAGAAAUAGCUUACAUACAAUUAACAAUGGUCAUUCAAGAAACUGUAUUGGACCCAGUAGAAUCUUGCGCCGUUACAACCAAGCAUUGGCACUAUAUUGACCUACCUAGAGAGCUCAACCCAACUGGCAAAAAAAGGCUACAUGUACUUCUGUUACCAGAGACAAUACGCACAUAUUUGCAAGGCCUAUCACUCUAACUUAAAAAGUUGUGACCCUUGAUUGACUGAUAAAACCACAACAAUAGACUCUUCUGUGUGUAGUGUUUCUGUGUCCAUGAAUGUAAACCUCGCAAAUAGUUCUACAAUAAUAAUCAAAUCACAUGUUGGCAUGGCUGCUUGCCUUGACAUGUUAGAACAAGUCAUUUUGAGUGAGCUGUCAUCGAAACGAACGAUUGAAAGUAGUUGGAAAUAGAUACAGAUGGGAGUGUAUACCUUGGUUCCUUCCCAUCGAGAACCUGUUGAAGGUAUGCCUUAUAUCAUAAAAUAAAUAUGCAUACGGAUUGGGAUCAUUGUGAUGCAAGAAACGGAGCUUAAGACACGUUAAAAAACAGCUUUUUAUAGUGCAAAGCAGUUUCAGUGCUUCACAUUACAGUGUGUGUGUGUGUGUGGGGGGGGUACUUUUAUUAUACAUUCAGACGUUGCAAGUGCUACACUCCCAAUAUCUGUGAAAUAAUCCAUCUCCCAUAAAUAAUGCAUUUAUUCAUUUAUAUCAGAAUUUUUCAUUUACCAUGAAAUGAAACUGCGUUGUUUGUUGCUGUCGAUAAAAAUCUAUGCAAUAUCAUGUAGAAUAUGUGCCAUAAUAAUAAUGCAAGAAGGUUAUAAGUGUUUUAGUCAUAGCCUUAAAUAUUUUGUAUGUGACAACAACUUGAGGUUAUCGUCCAAGGUUAUUCAAAAUAUGCCCCUGGCUAGGGACUGGCCCCUGGGCUCACUGAUUUUUCAAAAAUAAUAUUAUUACCUAAUAAAAACUGGAUCUCGCCACAUUUAAAUACUCAUUUUGUUUAAAAUAAUAUAUAUUUGGGAAAACAUUGAUAAACUCUUAGCAAAAUAAAGUAAAAUGAUAGAGCUAAAAAGCCUCCCUUACCAGUUGGGUCAAAAGUGCCUUAUAUGUUAAAUUGUUUAACCUAUUAAAUUUUUGUAGUUCACAUAGACAAUAAUAAAAUGCUGAACAUUUGAUAUGUAGUAAUAAUAAUUUUCAAUGUUUAUUAGUUUAUUGUAAAUAUGUUGAUGUAUGUUAACCUAAAUUUAACAAAAUUGUGAUACUAACAUCUGUGAUAACAAUAAUUAUAUUUUAGUUAUUUCUAAAGUGUAUAUGCUGUUGUUUUAAAGAGUUUUGGAGUUUGUUUAAUUCGCAGCUUAUGACUUAUAUAAAUUGUAUAUACUCACUUUAUCAUGGUGAUUGAUGCAAUAUUUGUUUGCUUGUUGUAUUUUUCAAUGGUUUAUACUUUGUGAUAUGUGGCUGUGUUUGAACAAAAUACACGUUCUUUCAGGAACUGUUUAAGAAGAAGACUGUUUUGGGGGGCACACUUGGAGACAUAAGAAACAUAAGCCCUUCUCCCCAAAAUUUGCAAAAGAAAUGUCUCUGAAAAUGAUUUUAAGGAGCAUAUAAUUUUAUACAUAAUUAUUAAAAAAAAACCUAUAUUUUUUAAUGUAUGUGAUGACACACAUGUCAUAUAGAACAUUUAUGUAUUUUGCUUCAAAGUUAAUGCAUUUACAGUUAUGGCACCAUAGAACUUGGUUACAUUAACUACCAAAUGUUAACACAGUUAUGGCCCCUUUUCAAUUUAGAGUUUGCCAAAAAUAUGGUGUCCAGACAAUAAUUCGUGAAAGGGUGGUGAUGUUUGAAAAGGAUCAUUAUUAUUGUAUGAAUGGUACUCUGUGUGUUAUGCAAUAGGUGAAGUAUUAUUUUUUAGUUGAGCAUUUCAGAAUGGUUUUCUUCUGAUCCAGUAUAGAAUGUUGUUGUAGUGACAUAUCAGCCCAACAUUUACAAGAAUUUAGCAGUAUUUUUUGUAUAAUUUUUUUUUCUGGUAGGGCAGCAGUGUCAUUGUUUGAUUUAAAGUAGCUAUAACAAAAACCUGGGCCAUUGUACCACCAUAUCCUACACUUGAGUGUUUGCCUGUUAAACAUUAUAUUUAUACAGAUAUACAAAUACAGAAAUGCAAAUUCAAUGUUUUUUAAUAAAAAUUAAUCUGUUUUACACACUCCGUGUACAGCAGUUGUACAGCUAUAAAAAACGCUUUUAAAAAGUUAAAAUAUGUUAAGAUUUCCAUUCAUGUACCAGUUAUAACAAUAUUUAAUUUAUAAUAAUAUUUAAAGCAUGUUGACUCAAAUUUAACAAACUGAGAAUAAGAUCUGUGAUUUAACAAGCAUUAUGUUCUAUUUAUUUUUAAUAAUCUGUUUUAAUUGAUUUAAUUUAAUUUAAUUGAUUGUAAUAUUACUGGCUACAGAAGUUUUCACAAAGUUAGUUACUAGGUGAAUUAAAUUCACUCACUUUAUCACGAUAAUUAAUGCAAUAUUUAUUUGCUUGUUGUGUUCUUACAUAGUUUAUUGUGUCGCCUGAAAAGUCGACAUAUAGGGGUUACUUGUCGGCGGCGUUGGUGGCGGCGGCGUCCGCGUCCCAUUUUCGCUUGUCCGGGUAUAUAUCUCCUAAACUAUUUGUGGUAUCAACUUGAAAUUUCAUAUGCAGAUAGAUCUAAUUGAGGGCAAGUGCAGUGCACAAGAACUGUUACUCUUGCUUCAAUAUUUUUAGAGUUAUUGCCCUUUGUUAUUUUUCAUGCUUAAAGUUUUGUCCGGGGCAUAUCUUGUAGAAUAUAAGAGUUAUCAACUUGAAACUUCAUAUGUAGAUAGAUCUCAUGGAGGGCAAGUGCAGUGCACAAUAACAGUAACUCUUGCUUUCUUAGUUUUAAAGUUAUUGCCCUUUGUUAAUUUUCAUGCUUAAAGUUUUGUCCGGGGCAUAUCUUGAAGAAUUUAAGAGGUAUCAAAUUGAAACUUCAUAGCUAGAUAGAUCUCAUUGAGGGCAAGUGCAGUACACAAGAACCGUUACUCUUGCUGCCAUAUUUUUAGAUUUAUUGCCCUUUGUUAAUUUUCUUGCUUAGGUUUUGUCCGUGGCAUAUCUCGUAAACUAUAGGAGGUAUCAACCUGAAACUUAUUCCGUAGGUAUAUCUGAUUGAGGGAAAGUGCAGUGCACAAAAACCGUAACUCUUGCAUCUAUAUGUUUAGAGUUAUUGCCCUUUGUUAUUUUUCAUGCUUAAAGUUUUGUCCGGGGCAUAUCUUGUAGAAUAUAAGAGUUAUCAACAUGAAACUUCAUAUGUAGAUAGAUCUCAUGAAGGGCAAGUGCAGUGCACAAUAACAGUAACUCUUGCUUUCUUAAUUAACAAAAGGCUAUAAAACUUUCAUGCUUAAAGUUUUGUCAGGGGCAUAUCUUGAAGAAUAUAAGAGGUAUCAACUUGAAACUUCAUAGCUAGAUAGAUCUCAUUGAGGGCAAGUGCAGUGCACAAGAACCGUUACUCUUGCUGCCAUAUUUUUAGAGUUAUUGCCCUUUGUUAAUUUUCUUGCUUAGGUUUUGUCCGUGGCAUAUCUCGUAAACUAUAGGAGGUAUCAACCUGAAACUUAUUCCGUAGGUAUAUCUGAUUGAGGGAAAGUGCAGUGCACAAAAACAGUAACUCUUGCAUCUAUAUGUUUAGAGUUAUUGCCCUUUGUUAAUUUUCAAGCUUAAAUUUUGUCUGUUGGUGAACUGGAGUCUUACUUCAGCCAUCAUAAACCAGUCUGGAUAGCAGUUUAGACAGAAGCAAGACAGAGAUGCUCAUUUCACACCUGAAAACGUAUUAAUCCAUUAUCUUCAAAUUAUUUCUCAAUGUCAUUGACUUCAGUAUUUAUUGUGCUCAUGUUUGCUGAUAUAACCAAAAUUAAUUGCUUGCUUAACGUUGUUACCUUCAGUUCAAAUGCCACCUACACUUGAAAGUUAAAUGGCAACAUCAUUGUCUAUAAAUGAAUAAAAUGCCAAUCUAACACACAGGCAUCUGAAUCAUUGUUUGUCAUUAAAAUAUUGUUUAAAACCAUUUUGGGUACAUACAAUGAGAUAAACAACACAUCUGAAGAUACAAAAGAAACUUUUUUGUAUAUCAAAGACACUAAAUAUCUUCAGAUGUGUUGUUUAUCUCAUUGUAUGUAUCCAAAAUGAUUUUAAACAAUAUUUUAGUGACAAACAAUGAUUCAGAUGCCUGUGAUCUAACAGCUAUAAUGUCGACAGUAAAUAAUUCGUCAGGCGACACAUCUGACUUGCGGAGUUCUAGUUCUUAGUAAAGAUUCUUUGUGAUAGGAUUCAGGGUUCGAAUUUAACUUUGAGGAGCACUAGCAAAAUUUUGCGAGUGCUUUUUGAAGCAUCUCGCAAAAUGAAAAAUCAACUUGCAAUUUUAUUAUUUGCUGUAUUCCCUUAUAAUAUUGUCUAACAGUAGAAUUUUACACCUAAGACAUAUUAUGAAUAUUAAAAAGUAUCAAUCUUGAGUGACUAGACUUCUAAAACUUUAAGAUUGCUUAUCCUAUUUAAGGGGUACGGAAAGACUCAUCAGAUGCUGGCCGCGUUUUGAUAACAAAGCUGUCCAAUAAUUUGACAUUGUUCACUUUGUAUAUUUACCCUCGCCAUCGGGUAAUACCCAUUCGGCAAGCCCGCUACAUAUUUUAUUCAGUCUAUAAGUAUUAAAAACAAUAUAAUGUGUAAAAACAAUAACGUUAUAAAUAUAGUUAUAAAUAUAAAAGAAAUAAAAGCAACAGUAAAUGUAGCAUGGAUGAUUUGGACCAUGAAAUAUAUUGAUUGACGCAGGCUAUUCACUUUGACAGUUGGGCGGAAAUAUAUUCAAUAGUUGAUGGGGUUUACAUAUAGUGCGCGAAAGCGCUAAAUUUAGCCAAUGAUUGAGCUAGGUGAUUACGUCAUUUGUAUUCACUAUGUACUAUGCACGCCUCGGAGCAUCCUGGAAAGAUUCGAGAUAAAACUCCGCCUUUUCCGUAUUUGUUCUAUUUUUGAAAACUUACUAGAGCGUAACUCCGUACUGUCUUCUUUAUACUUAGCUAAAGAACUUCAGCGAACACGUUAUAUAUUACCUUUUUGGAUGUGUUUUAAUGUGUUGUAAACAUCAAAAAAAAAAAAUAUCAAAAUUAAAGUUAUGGAAGCCAGAACUACUUUAUACUGGUUGUUUAAACAUGCCACUUUUAGGCUGUUUACACACGACUAUGUAGCGGAGUUACGUUCGUGUUUAUUCUACUUUCCUAAAGUCUAAAUUCGAACCCUGGGAUUGAUAUUUGAUAUGUGGAUGGCAAGUUUAAACAAAAUACACAGAUAUGUUACUGUUUCAGUUACUGUUUUAGGAGUAGUCAGUAGUUUGUAGCAGGGGUGGGUCCAUGAUUUGACGUUAAGAAGGAAUGCACUUGGGGUCCGAGGCUACUUACAGGGCUUCUUAGUUCAAGAUUGGGGGCUUUUAACUUCAGCAUAUUGUACAGUUGUAAAUUUUGAGGUUUUUUUGUAAAAAUUCUGCUUACAUUGUAAUAAAACAAAUCUAUGUAAAAAAAAAUUUGGCAGUCAUUUCUCCUUUCAUUGUGAUUAAAAAUCCAUGUAUAUUUUUUUAAAUGUUUGCAACAUUCAAAAAAUGUACCUAACAUUGUACUACAAAUAUUAUAGGUAUUUUGUUAGACUUCAAAUAAUAUGCAUAUAGUAUGAUGAUGUAUUAACGCUUGUAUAUAUAUACAAUAUUCUUCAUACCAUAUUAUGAUCUCUAAAUUUUACCUUUUCUGACCAUUUACAUUGUAAAUAUGAUAAUAUUCAUGAUGAUGAAUGGAUUUCCCUUUGUGGCAGAUCCGUGGUCUAGUGGUAACACACUUGACUAUCAAUCCAGGAGUCGCAGGUUUGAUUCCUUGUCGCAUCACUAAAAAAAUACUAAUCGUCUUCUGGGAGGGACGUUAAAUGGAAGUCCCGUGUGACAGUGCUAUACUCUGGUGCACGUUUAAGAACCAGGGUAGUUAUAACCAGGGUUACAUUCUGUCUCUGCACUAUGCUCCAACAACCUAAAAUUACUAACACUCUUAGCGGAGCACUCGCUGAAUGGGCAAGGCCCAAGUGCGAGUAUAAAUGAGCUUACACACCACCAAGUGUGCCAAAUCUAUAGGAGAGUUAAAACUAAGAUACUGACGGUUGUUAAUGUAACCCUUUAACAAAUGUUGAUAUAUGCUCAAAUAUUGUUUUUGAAGUCAUAAUUUUGAAUAGCAUUUGUCACAUGAUUCAACAAAAGGCUUAAUGGUUAAAUUAUUCCUUUGAUUAUGUAUGAGUUCUUGUGGGCGAGCGGUUUUGGUAUCAUUUUUCUAAUUUUUUAUUGACUGGCUUGGCUCCCCACCACAACAAGUUUUUUCAUACUUAAAUUGUAUUUUGUCCGUAAUUUCGGAUCAAAGAGUAAAAUGAUUAUAAUAUUAGUGUUUUCAAAUGCAUUACUGACAACAAGAAUUGGGUCCAAAAACAUGAGUGAGUCCCUUUAAAUUGAUGAAUUGCUUUAACACUAACCAUAUAUUGUAUUCCAUGUACAUGUAUACGACUUUGUUGUAAAAGAUAUAUUGCAAAUGUAUGGUUAUUCUGAUGUGUGAACAUAUAAAGACUGUGUUGUUAACGUGCCAUAUUUUUGCAAGGUCAAAUCUGUACUUUAAGCAAUGGUAUGAGGGAGUCCGGUCUUCGGAAUCAUUUACACUAUUUAGUACAUUAAACCAAAUUUUGUUAUAUCUUUUUUCUCCUUAUAUUAGACCGUAUUAAAAUCAACAAGAAAUAUGUUAACUAAGAUUAUCGUCACAUAAAUUAUUUGUGGAACACGGACGGUAAUCUAAUAUUCCAAGAAAUGAUUAAAAAAUGUGAUAAUUGUGGGUCCAAUGACAUUGACGAAAAAAACUUUGUUUUGAUUUGCUCUAAAUACAAGGGAACACUAUAUUCAAAUGUUUUAUUGGAGAAGAGCCAGUAUGCUUGAAUUUGUAAAUUUACUAAACACAAUGAAAAAGCCAUUGUUACAUAAAUUAACGAUUUAUAUUAUUAAGACAAAAAAUAAGAAAUUCUGUUUUUAACAUUCCUGUGUUAUAUUAUAUAAUUGUUAAUUAUACACUCUCAUGUAAAACCUGUAUUUGUUUAAAUAUGAUCUUUUGUACUUUAACAUAUGUUUCUGAAUUGUAUGCCAUUUAUGUAUACAUUAGUAAAUAUUUUGAAUUUUGAUACUAAGCUAUACAUACUAACAUCAAAAUAAACUUAAAAUUUA
Molecule: long non-coding RNA, 8536 nt
Organism: Mya arenaria
Lineage: Eukaryota; Metazoa; Mollusca; Bivalvia; Myida; Myidae
Exons: 4
Source: RefSeq, a predicted model, not a curated record